CCCCUGUAUAUAGCCUCCACAUUGACUCUGUACCGGUACCCCCUGUAUAUAGCCUCCACAUUGACUCUGUACCGAUACCCCCUGUAUAUAGCCUCCACAUUGACUCUGUACCGUAACCCCCUGUAUAUAGCCUCCACAUUGACUCUGUACCGGUACCCCCUGUAUAUAGUCUCCACAUUGACUCUGUACCAGUACCCCCUGUAUAUAGCCUCCACAUUGACUCUGUACCGGUACCCCCUGUAUAUAGCCUCCACAUUGACUCUGUACCGGUACCCCCUGUA
Molecule: long non-coding RNA, 281 nt
Organism: Oncorhynchus tshawytscha (Chinook salmon)
Lineage: Eukaryota; Metazoa; Chordata; Actinopteri; Salmoniformes; Salmonidae
Source: Ensembl